Molecule: small nucleolar RNA, 71 nt
Filed under: Choloepus hoffmanni (Hoffmann's two-fingered sloth)
Lineage: Eukaryota; Metazoa; Chordata; Mammalia; Pilosa; Megalonychidae
Description: Small nucleolar RNA SNORD112 (ENSCHOG00000015676.1)
Source: RNAcentral
UGGACCAAUGAUGAUAGUUUUCAUGAAACAAGGAUUAUGAUCAACCUAAUUCUGUACACUUGAGGGCCAAA